This is a non-coding RNA of Paramisgurnus dabryanus, 3325 nucleotides long. NCBI's taxonomy places the organism in Eukaryota, Metazoa, Chordata, Actinopteri, Cypriniformes, Cobitidae. The record is from RefSeq and is a predicted model, not a curated record.
GAUAAAAUUACCCGAAAGUGUUGUCAUUGUUAAAUAAAUUACGGAUGUGCGUCUUUGCGUCAAGGUCGUGAUUCUACAUAACAACAUCCGCUUGACCUCGCAAUGCCAAGAAGAAGAAAGGCGUGGAACAUUUGCUUAAGCCUGUCAAGAUCUUCAGCAGAUGUUUGAGCAAAAGUCAUCAUCCUCUUCGUCACUCUUCAUCCGUAUUUGGGGUAACAAGCACCUGCUUCCCACAAGAGACUGGACAGCUGAUGUCAGACCUGCACCUUCCUUGAACAUGUUGGUAUCUUACUCUGUAUUUGUUCACGGUGGUCACCCCAGGGUCUCAGGACUCAAAUUGAGUGCUCUAUGGAUUAAACAGAAAAUGCAGUAUAAACAAGUGUUAUGUUGUCUUCAACAUGUUGGUAACUUACUCUGUAUUUGUUCACGGUGGUCACCCCAGGGUCUCAGGACUCAAAACGAGUGCUCUAUGGAUUGAACAUAAAAUGUAGUAUAAACAAGUGUUAUGUUUUUAAAUGCCACUAAUAAUGUGUUUCUGUUUUCUUUCUCAUUAUGCUAACAAACGCUCUUUUACCCCUCAUGUUAGGUAGAUCAACACUCCAACCAUCUGCAUUAGGGACUGAAUAAAGGAUGCCCUCUGUAGCUGGGAAUGUUAGAUCAGGCGGAUCAACAUUCCAUCCAUCUGCAUUAGGAUCUACCUUAGAGACACUCACUGGAGCUGUAAAUGGGAAGCAGGUCACUUACUUUGCAUUCGUCGUCCUUGGUGGUCACCCAAGGGUCUCUAGAGUGAAAAUUACUCAAUCUAUGGAUUAAACAGAAAAUUUAGUUGUAUGAAGUGGUAUGUUGUCUUUAAAUGCCAUUAAAAAUGUGUUUCUGUUUUCUGUCUCAUAUUAAGAAAUACUCUUUAACCUGCCCACUGGAGCUGGGAAUGCAAUUUGGGACAUUCUUCCAGUUGUCGGGAACUUUGUGAAAAAGGCUGGAAACUUAAAUGCAGAAUUCUGGCCUGGUGUUUGGUCUGUGCUGUCUUUGGCUCUUGCAUCUCCAUCAUCCUGACCCUCUUUAGCAGCCUGUCCAUGUAUUUAUUUGGAGGCCACCAUGAGCACCCAUCUGCAUAAUAUGACUUUGUUACUCAGAUGUCCAUGCGCUCCUACAAAUUCUACAUUUUUUGUAAAGCUGCAACAAGUUGAAACCCUAUAAUUAUUAACGUUUGAUUUUGAAAUAUGUAAUUCCAAUACAUGAAUAAGUAACAAAAGCAGAAAUUUAUUAAGAUAUUACCUUUUUGUUGCUUGUUUACUGAUCUAUCAAUCCUUUUGCAUUUUCAUAAUUGUUCAUCAUAACUUGGUAUACAGUGGAUGUGUGGCUGCAGAUAACUUUCUGAAGUCAAUUUAAAAAGACAAAAGUUAAUAAAUGCUGAAUUGGUCAAAUAUACAUUGUUGUAUUUUCACCAUUUUGAUGUUUAGUCAUUUCAUAACUUGAGGGUUAAUUCACGUAUAGUGAUGUUUCAAAUCAAAGAUUAAUUUAUUAAUGACAGCUAAUCAUUUUAUAAAGAUUUUUAUUACAAUAUUUAUUUAUAUAAUAUCAAUUUAAUACAUUUAAUUCGUUACACCUACAUUACUGAGCGCAAGGGAGUGCAGCCAACAAAUACAUUCAGGUGUGUUCGACUUAACACCGAGAUGCGCAGACAGCACGUGGUAUGACAUCAAAGUACCGCGAGAGUUUGGGAAAGCCCCGGAAAAGGUUUGAUCUCGCGGUACUUGAUGUCACGAUCGGUUUGCGUGUAGAUCAGCAUGAAGUAGAACACAUCUGAAAGAUGUGUGGGCUGCCUGCACUCAACGUUGCGAUAAUUCAGUAGAGUGUAACCUCAAUCGGUUUUUGCAGCUUCUGGGUGUCGUGUCGAACGGUCGCAGAACGAUUUUUUGUUCUUUUCCAACUCGAUUUUUAACUCCCUAGACUAGUAGGAUGUUCCAACGGGUGAAGCAACAGUGCUGACGGCCGGCAGAGUUUCAGUGUCAAUUUUUCAUGCCAUGAUCACUGGGGCGGAAACCAUUAUGACGUUGCCUUGGACAUCAAACUAAACCAUCUCAUUCUGGCUUUUUUCUAACAUCGAAAUCUCAGAAGGCCAGGACUAAGAUGGACGCAGCCUCCACAUGCAACCUUGCAUUUGAGGAACACCCAUAGAACGGUCAACUUACCCCAUACUCUAACCUGAAUGCAGUGAUCAUAAAACUUUAUCUUUUACCUUAAUUGUUAGAUGGGUGUUGAUACCAAACUAUUUUUUCUCGUCUACCCAGGAGAAAGUCAUGGGUUCUGCUGCUGAGGUUGUCAUAAAGCAUGCUUUUUCCAUUUGUUGCAUUGGGCAAUAUUAUCAAAAGAUUCUGAAAGAAAUAAGAUAAUUUUCAAAGCAUUAACAUGAAUAUGAAAGCAUUAAGUCAUUAAUGACCAUCUUUUAUUAUUGUUUAUUUAUAGUGUCUUUUAUUCUGCUUACCUGACUCAUGCAGAAUUCUGGCUUGAUGUUUGGUCCACCUGUUAGCUGGCUCUGGUGCUUGGUAGUCUUCUCAAACCUCUGAAUCAAGGCCACCAUGAGAGGCCUUCUGAAGACCAUCAUUACGCUUCAGAUCCAGUUGUCUUAACUAUGAGCCUACCACAAUCCCUGUGCACCAGCUAUGGAAAGUGCAGACCAAACUUCUACCUCCACCUAUAGAACUGAACUGGAGUCUGUGAACUAUAGCUGUGUUCGAGACAACUGGAACAGCAAACAAAGUUGAGUAUCCGACCUCUCAACUUGUGACUGAUGGAUCAGCACCAACCUCAACGAGAUGCAUCAUUUGACAUUGCAGACAAGAUCCUUUCUCUUUUUAAUGCAGCACUUAAGGAUGAAGCACCCUGAUCUACUAAGAUGCACAGAUUCAACUCUGGCCCAGCAUCAUCCCCACACCUCAUCUGCCAUCAGUUUAAUUUAAUGUCUGUCAAUUGCAAAUGCUAUUUAUUUCAGUUAUAUUACAACUUAAUGUUAACUUUAAUUGAGACUAGUAUUGUGUAAAGCUGGGGUUUCCAAACUUUUCAUUUCAAAACCUAUUAGACAAGUAUAAUCUAUUCUAGACCCACUAAAAUAUUUUUACAUAUACAUUUUUUUAAUGGGGUAAAACACAUUUGUUCUCUUUCAGUGGAGUCAUUUUAUUUUCAUAAUAUUUCAUAAUGUAAAGCAGUGGUUCUUAACGUUAUUCCUCGAGGCCCACUGCUCUGCACAUUUUGUAUGUCUCUUUUAUCUGACAGACUCAGUUCAGUUCAUUGAGAUCUCUUCUAAUGAGCUGAUGAUUUGAAUCAG